Symphalangus syndactylus (siamang) is the source of this 221-nucleotide long non-coding RNA. RefSeq lists it as uncharacterized. The record is from RefSeq and is a predicted model, not a curated record. NCBI's taxonomy places the organism in Eukaryota, Metazoa, Chordata, Mammalia, Primates, Hylobatidae.
GAAGUCAAUCAAAGGAGUAGUAGCAAUAAAGAGGAAGAUGGUUAUCACGGGAUGAAGAUGAGGCAAUGCCAAGUAUAGUGCUGUGUACGGAGCCUGGAGCAAGGUGAACAAAUGCAGGCUUCAGGAUGCCAAGUGACUUCAUAUCAACAUCACCCAGCAGAUUAAGGGAACUGGUCCCAGAAUCCUAGGCUCCUGACUACCCAGUCCUGUGCCCAUUCUAG